GAUGAACGCUGGCGGCGUGCUUAACACAUGCAAGUCGAACGGAAAGGCUCCUGCUUGCAGGGGUACUCGAGUGGCGAACGGGUGAGUAACACGUGGGUGAUCUGCCCUGCACUUCGGGGUAAGCCUGGGAAACUGGGUCUAAUACCGGAUAGGACGAUGGUUUGGAUGCCAUUGUGGAAAGUUUUUCGGUGUGGGAUGAGCUCGCGGCCUAUCAGCUUGUUGGUGGGGUAAUGGCCCACCAAGGCGUCGACGGGUAGCCGGCCUGAGAGGGUGUACGGCCACAUUGGGACUGAGAUACGGCCCAGACUCCUACGGGAGGCAGCAGUGGGGAAUAUUGCACAAUGGGCGCAAGCCUGAUGCAGCGACGCCGCGUGGGGGAUGACGGCCUUCGGGUUGUAAACUCCUUUCGCUAGGGACGAAGCGCAAGUGACGGUACCUGGAGAAGAAGCACCGGCUAACUACGUG
Molecule: ribosomal RNA, 465 nt
Filed under: uncultured bacterium
Lineage: Bacteria
Description: partial 16S ribosomal RNA
Rfam family: Bacterial small subunit ribosomal RNA
Source: RNAcentral